Molecule: long non-coding RNA, 1648 nt
Organism: Homo sapiens (human)
Lineage: Eukaryota; Metazoa; Chordata; Mammalia; Primates; Hominidae
Gene: ERCC6L2-AS1
Product: ERCC6L2 antisense RNA 1
Source: Ensembl
AGGCCAAUGGCGGCCAACGCCACUUCCGGCCGCCCUCCGAGCAUCGCUCUUCGGCAACCCGAAGCCACAGGAUGGAGGAGGGGGAUCCCAGCAAAGGUAGCGACUAAGGGGACCCAAGCAGAACGGGAGGGCGACGUCCGGAGCGGCGGCAGAGCCAGGGGACGCUGUGUGAGGCUGGCAAAGCGGUGUUCACCUAGUUCUCUCGGGCUCCGCCGCCGCCGGAGGAGGACAGGAGGCCGGCAAGGCGACCCCCAAAUCUUCCUAGGCUCUGACUUCCGUCUCCUAACCCCCGCAAAUUCCAACCCGGUCUUGGAAAAUCCCGCGAGAACGGGCUCCCGAAUUGUCAUUGGGAUCUCGCGAGAACGAAAUCUUCCUUUCUGUGGGCGGAGCAAUCUUCCCGAUGUCUCUUCCCUCUGAGGCCAGUAGCAGGAAGGGCCUCGGGAGUUGCGAGUGUCGCGAGGUUUGAGGUCGCUCGGUGGGCCGGGCGCUGUGCGAAGCUAGAAAUAACUGGGGGCAUGGAGAAUGCGGUGGCUGUAAAGGGCCGCUGAGGCGGUGGAGGCCUGGCAGAGAGCGUCCCCGCGGUCGCGGCUUCUGGCUUCUCUGUGGAGCUUGGUUCUUCCGUGGUGGUGCAGCACCCCAGGAACUUCAGGAACCAGUCCUUCCUUGGAGAGCUCCCCGGGACAGCCACGGGGGCCAAGUGAAACUAGCGCGUUUUCUUGGAUCCUACACUUUAUAGUGAGUCAUAAAUACUUUAAAUACAAAGCCAACAACAUUUGCUGCAAAUAAACGUAAAAAUACUGUUAAAGUGUAAAGUGUUUUCCUCCGUACCAUCUGACGUUUCUGGCGGUUCGUUGAACGCGAGAGAACGCUGAGCCGUCUGCACUGAGCCCGGGAGCAUCUUCAGGGCAGCGCCGCCCACGCGCGAGGUGAAUGAAGGACACGGCCUCUUGACACUCCCAGGCAGCACAGAUAGACGGAUCCAUCCCAGUUUCUGACCUGUAGCAUAGUCCCUCUCUCUGAAGAACUUCCUGUAAUAUUUUUUGCUAGGAAGAGUUUGAAGUUUGAAAUCCCAGAAUGAGGAAAUUCAUCCAGCUUGGAGACUUCCAAUCCCUUCAUUGUGCAGAAGGUUGCUAAUGCUCUCAGGAGAAGCCCUUCACCAAGAGAAUACUUCCACAUAGAGUCCUCUCCAUUGAGACUAAGGAAACAUGCUAUGUCAUGUAGCCACAGCAGCCUUUGCAGCUGUUGAAGGCAGCAAGACUUGCAUGGCAAUCAGAAGACACAGAACCAAGACUCAUAUCCAGUUAUAAGAUGGCAGAUGGGACACACACUCAUCAGGCUUAGUGAGCAGCCAAUCCAGAGGGAACCAUACUCAGCCCUAGGGGCUGGGCGCGGUGGCUCUCGCCUGUAAUCCCAGCACUUUGGGAGGCCAAGGCGGAUGGAUCACCUGAGGUCACGAGUUCAAGACCAGCCUGACCAACAUGGAGAAAUCCCAUCUCUACUAAAAAUACAAAAUUAGCUGGGCAUGGUGGUGCAUGCCUGUAAUCCCAGUUACUCGGGAGGCUGAGGCAGGAGAAUCACUCGAACCCGAGAGGCAGAGGUUGUGGUGAGCUGAGAUUGUGCCAUUGCACUCCAGUCUGGGCAACAAGAG